UGCCGGGAUCUUUUUGUCAUGCACUCAGUGGAUCUCUCAUGAUACCAUAUGCAAAGAGAAACCAAAAAGGGAGUUCAGAACCAUUCAUGAGAUGUAGCUAGUUAGUUAUUACUUCAACAGAGUGCAACCCCAAGUUAUUCACCGUUCUUGAAAAUAGCUCCUCUAGAAGAUAACAGCAGAGGCAAAAAAGCAAACCUGGGUAAAGGCCAUGAGGUCACAGUAGUCCCUGUUUAAUUGUCUGGGAAUCAUUUUCUUUACG
This 259-nucleotide long non-coding RNA is filed under the name Elaeis guineensis (African oil palm). RNAcentral describes it as "long non-coding RNA (EGUI_LNC011161)". Lineage: Eukaryota; Viridiplantae; Streptophyta; Magnoliopsida; Arecales; Arecaceae. The record is from RNAcentral.